AGGAUAAACGCUGGCGGCGUGCCUAACACAUGCAAGUCGAACGUCCUACGCAAGUAGGGAGUGGCGGACGGGUGAGUAACACGUGGGCAAUCUACCUUUCGGUGAGGAAUACCGGCGAGAAAUCGCCGACAAUACCGCAUACGCUUCGCAAGAAGCAAAGUCGCAAGACGCCGGAGGAGGAGCCUGCGCCCGAUUAGCUCGUUGGUGGAGUAAUGGUCUACCAAGGCGACGAUCGGUA
Molecule: ribosomal RNA, 238 nt
Filed under: uncultured bacterium
Lineage: Bacteria
Description: partial small subunit ribosomal RNA
Rfam family: Bacterial small subunit ribosomal RNA
Source: RNAcentral